Molecule: long non-coding RNA, 1420 nt
Organism: Megalobrama amblycephala (Wuchang bream)
Lineage: Eukaryota; Metazoa; Chordata; Actinopteri; Cypriniformes; Xenocyprididae
Exons: 3
Source: RefSeq, a predicted model, not a curated record
UAGUCAUGACAGUGGUAGUAGAAUGGAUCUGAGCAGAUUUGGGAGCUCAUAUGUUCAUGAAGUGUAUAAAAGCAGUGAAGUGUGUAAGACAUGUUUCUCCUCCCCUCACAUGAGCAGAAAUCUGAGAGAUGAGGAGAGUCCUGGGGCCAUAUGGCUCAGCUGGAGGUACCAGGAGUGCCCAGGCGAAACCAUGAGGUGGAAACGGUUUACUCGCUCUACUGAUUCAGUGUGCUAUCAAAGAGCUGCCGAACCUGUAAAGAACCCCCUCCCCCGCCGGCGGCCCAGGUACUAACCUGUGUGACAGGAAAAAAAUGGUAAAACCAUUUGACCCGGUGCUGGCCGCUGCAUCCUCCAUCCGGAUGAGGACUUCUCGUAAAAAUACAACAAAACAGGUUAAUUACCACGGUGACAUCUAUAACCAAGACUGGACGACAGACGCCAAAGACAAAGAGACGAGCCGAGCCCCUGUGAGACUAAUAAAGGGAAGAAAAGCACUUCCCAUCUGAAUUGGUGCCAUGUAUGAAGGAGCUAGUAUUCAGCUAUUUUGAAUUGCAUCACAGCGCCAAUUCCACUCAGGUAAUUGGUUUGCAUGCUCAGUUUCCGAACCUGAACUGUACGUCGAAAAAACUUCGCCCGGAGUCACACCUCAGGUCAGAUCUUUAUUACAAGAGAGGAAUGAAACGGUUCCUUUCUUCCCUUCCUCCACUGCAGAUAUACAAAGCGAACUUGUCGUCCAAAGAGCCGGAGGGUUAUUUUAAGCAGCCUCUGGCUGAGUGGCGUGUGCGUCGGGUAAUCAGCAUGCAAGGAGAGGUAAUUUAAAGAUGUCUCGUCGCUGACAAGAAUUAAAUUGUGUUUUGAUUUUCUCAUUAGCCUAAUCUCAAGUGGGCCUCGUUAUUGUGUAAUUUUCCGGCGUUGACACGACAUCUUGUUUUGGGAGCUGACAGCCUUAUGCUGUCGGGGAGGUGGAGGGGUAUCAAGCGUGAGCUCGGAGGACACUGAUUGGUCCCCUCCCUCUGAGCUGAUAUGAGCGGGGAUGUUAUAUAUCGACACCUGGGGCGUGGCUGGGGAGGGGGGACGUGACUGGCUUGGGCCUCUCAGAUGCAUCUUUCAAUGUCACUUUGUUUUUGAGAUGCCAUCACUUUUACAACAGAGUAAAUUAGCUUUUCAGGGUCCUGGCGUUUCUCUCUGGGAGGCUGUCGAAUCUUCCGUCAUUCCUCUCGCUCUGACACUAGCUUCACAUCCCAGUGCCGCCAGUCCCCCGUGAAUCCGAUAAGACCGGCGACCUCUAACGAAGUACACCCGUACAUGAACGUGCGCUGACACUUCGAACCCUUCAGAUGCGCUUCAUCGUUUUCACCUAAUGGCGAAAAUCUGGCUAGUUUCUUAUUGUAAAGCUGUGUUUUUACAGUGUUUAUUUAGC